Molecule: unclassified non-coding RNA, 2163 nt
Filed under: Camponotus floridanus (Florida carpenter ant)
Lineage: Eukaryota; Metazoa; Arthropoda; Insecta; Hymenoptera; Formicidae
Description: uncharacterized LOC112639123, transcript variant X2
Source: RNAcentral
AAAAGAACUAAAAGAAAAACAUACAGACCAAAUAUAUACUAUAACAACCGAUAACGGUGCCAAUAUGUUAAAAGCAGUAAGAAUAUUAGCUUCAGAUGAAGAUUGUGAUAACAUUUUAGAACAAACUGAAGAGUCUGAAGACAAUACAAAUAACAUCGAUUGUGAUAUAUAUUUAGAAAAAGAUGAGAAAGAUGACGAAACAGAUGAAACAGAUUACUUAAACGUUUUUGAGAAUAUUGAAAGUGAUAUAAAUUCUAAUUUUCAAAAUAAUAUUUUAACUUUAACAGGUAUUAGAUGUGCAGCUCAUACUUUACAAUUAGCAAUUGAUGAUGCUUUAAAAAAAACAAAGACUAUAUUACAGUUAAUUUUAAAAGCUAGAAAUUUAGCAAAAAAAUUAAGAACUCAAACGUUUAUUUAUUUAAUAAAGAAACAACACUUGAAAAAGCCUACAAUUGAUUGUCCGACUCGGUGGUGUUCUACUAUAGAUAUGCUUGAAAUCUGUUACUACUAAAAGAUUAUUGUGAAGAACUAUCUGUAACAAAAUUUCAAAAUUUUGUAAGGCUAAAAGAUACUGAAUGGUCAAAAAUUAAAGAGAUAUGUACAGCUUUGCGACCGGCAAAAAUUUGUACCAAAAAACUUCAGAAAGAACAAUUGACUUUAAGUGAAUUUUUUGGAGUUUGGUUUGAAACAAAAGUAGCAACAGAGGCAGUACAAACUCCUUUCGCUACUUUUAUCGUAGAACAAAUGGUAUAUCGCGAACAGAAGUUAAUAAAUAAUGAUAUAUUAUUAUCCGCUGUUUACUUGGAUCCUCGAUACAAAGUAUUAUUAAGUAAUACACAAUUAGAAAGGGCUAAAAUUCAUUUAAAACAUCUUUGGGCCAAAAUAAUAUCAUUAAAUCGCAAUGAUAAUUCAAUGAAUGAAUCAAACGAAAAUUUCAAUGGAAGUUCUUCAAAUUCAAGUGAAACAGCUUCUACACAUGAUGAAUUUGAAAAUCUUUUGAAACUCAAAGAACGACAGCAAAAUUUAACAAAGACAUAUUCAUCUAGAGAAUCGGAUUUGUAUCGAAUAGAAACUGAACUUGAAAGAUACAACAUUGAACAAAAAAGACUUAAUAGAAAAAUAAAUGUAUUACAAUUUUGGAAUGAAAAGAAACAAAAUCAAUCCGAAUUAUAUAAAUUAGCAACGACUGUUCUAGCUGUAUCUGCCACUCAAGUCAGUGUAGAACGAUUAUUCUCUGGAUUAAAAUUCAUUUUGUCUCCAUUGCGGACAAAUAUCGGUGAAAAUAUUUUAGAAAACCAAUUGCUUGUUAGAGCUAACAGAAUAUUUUGUCAUGAAAAAGAGACAAAAUCACAUAUAAAAGAAAAAAGACCAUUGUCAUUAAAUACAAACGAAUGUGUAGUUCCAAAGAUGUUAAAAAAAUGCCAAUUCUAGAUAAUUAACGAUAAAAAUUGGGAUUUUAGCCCGAUUUUAGUCGGCGCAUAUAUACUAACUUUGUUGAUGAGCACGCAAAUAUCGCCAAGAUUUUUAUAACUUGUCUGUAGUGAGAAUUUAUUUUUUAAGUUAGUUUAUUUAUUCUUAUUAUUGUGUUGAUUUUGCGAUUAUUUGUUGCCUCUUUUUCUCUUUCUACGAAGGACUCGUUCAAACAUUAUUAUUCACACAUUGGUACUGCAAUAUUAUUUACGAUAAUUCGUAGCAUCAAAAUGUGUUACAUAAUUCAGAUAAAAUUUUGUUAAAUAUUUUUAUAAAAAUUACUUUUGAAGAUACGAUUUUAUCAUUUUUCAUCUAUCCUAAGCUUAUGAUAGAUGUAUUGCUAUUUAGUUAGUUAUUAUAAGUUUCAAGUCAUCAGAUUCGCGAUUAUAAGUCUGUCGGUUUGAACCUAGUUAAUCCAAAUGAUAAUUUUAUAGUACAAUCUAGCGGAAUGGUAAUUUGAAUAAUAAUUUUGUUGUCUAGAAGUCUAGAGUGCACUAUAGAAUAGAACACUAAUUUGAAGUAUGCCUGUGCGUUGAAUGGAUUUGCAAUUCGACACACUCGUCUGCGCAGAUGUUGCGCAAAUGACAACAUUUAAAACUUGACAUUUAUAAUGCGCUGCAAAUGAAAUGAUCUCACUUGAUUCGUGAUAUCGCGAAGAAGUUAUUUUUUUAUUAAGUUAUCUUUAUUAAAAGU